This is a non-coding RNA of Salmo salar (Atlantic salmon), 276 nucleotides long. The record is from RefSeq and is a predicted model, not a curated record. Lineage: Eukaryota; Metazoa; Chordata; Actinopteri; Salmoniformes; Salmonidae.
GAGGUCACUGUGAGGUCACUGUGUCGCUAAGGUCACUGUAAGGUCACUGUGAGGUCCAUGUGUCGCUAAGGUCACUGUGAGGUCCAUGUGUCGCUAAGGUCACUGUGAGGUCCAUGUGUCGCUAAGGUCACUGUGAGGUCCAUGUGUCGCUAAGGUCACUGUGAGGUCCAUGUGUCGCUAAGGUCACUGUGAGGUCCAUGUGUCGCUAAGGUCACUGUGAGGUCCAUGUGUCGCUAAGGUCACUGUGAGGUCCAUGUGUCGCUAAGGUCACUGUGA